AUGAAUAAAGCCAGCACAGAAAAUCAGCAGGCAUGGGCUAUAAAUAUUAACUUUGUUCCUCAUUUUGUUCUCCCAUGCUGUUCCCAUGGAGACAUAGCUCCUCCAUGUAUCUGGAAUUCAGGCUGCCCAAGGGACGUGACCGAGAGCUGCGAGAGAGGCCCAGUGGAGAGACAAGCGCUGUGUAAAGCCUCCAAGCCCUGUGCCAGCGGACUCCUUCCUCUUCCUUCUCACUCUCUUUUUCCCUUUCCCAUUUUCAUUAGAACUGGACCAUCAGCUGGAUUUUGUAAUGAGAUAUACACCCAAAAAACUACUUCUCCAUUUGCAAACAUUUUCAAGCUCCAUGGGCUUGGAAGUCUCCUCACCACAAGCUGACUGAGCAAUUCUGUGGAAAAGCUGGCUCACGCUGUUCACUGUGAAGCUCUCUCCCUCCGCCAGAUACUGCCUUCCGGCCUCCCUCUGAGCCCUAAUCCUAUUCAAGGCCACAGAAAACAGGUUUAAACAAAACACAGCCAGCAGAGACAUCCUAACCUUCAUUUUAACACUGGACAUUUUCUGAACAUAACCUAUAAUCUUUGUUAAGUACUGUAUGCCCUCGACAUGGCUCCUCUGACACUGAGACUUAUCCUCUCUGGAAAUGUAUAACAAAGGGUAGAAUGAGAAAGAGAAUAUAAAUGGACUAAGUCUGCUAUCCAAGCUUUCAACCUAAAUGAAAAUCAAUCAAGCCUCCGCAGUUACAUCAGGCAACACUGGCUAUGUUGAAUCAUGUGCUAUGUAAACAUGGAUUUUUUCAAAGACCAGAGCUGUACUAUCCAGAGGUCACAUAAUACUUUUUUUUUUUUUCUUUCUUGAGACAGAGUCUUGCUCUGUAUCCCAGCCUGGAGUGCAGUGGCAUAAUCUCAGCUCACUGUAGCCUCAACCUCUCGGGUUCAAUAUGGGUUUUGCCUCAUUGCCCAGGCUAGUCUUGAACUCCUGGCCUCAAGGGAUCCGCCCAUUUUGGCCUCCCAAAGUGCUGGGAUUACAGGUGUGAGCCACCAGGCCAGCCCUGUAAGACUUUUAAACAAAUGCAGUAGUAUAGUUAGAGUCAUUAAGAGGAUCUCAAAGUACAAAAAGCCCAUCCAGUAUGGGCUCUAAUAGUUCUCAGCAGUUCGGUAAUGUGGCUUGUUGUCAGCUGGAGUAUAUUUUGCUUUCUGAGGGUUAUUUCAAAUGAAGAAUCUGUGUCCUUUAUUCCUGCAACCAUGUCAUCAUCAUCAUACGCGCUUCCUUCUUUUCUCUCCUCUUUCUUGUACUUCUUGUCUUUCUCUUCCUCCUCCUCCUUUUCCUCAUCUACCUCAAUUUUAUUUUUUUAUUUGUUUAGAGACUUGGUCUCACUCUGUCACUCAGGCUGGAGUGCAGCGGUGUGAUCAUGGCUUCUUUGCAGCCUGGAACUCCUGGGCUUAAACGACCUCCCUGCCCCAGCCUCCCAAGUAGCUAAAGCUACAGGCACAUGCCACCAUGCCUGGCUAUCUUUUUAAUUUUUAUUUUUGUAGAGAUGGCGGGCAGUGGGGGUGGCAGUGGGAGUUGGGGUUAGGAAAGAUGUCUUUCCAUCUUGUCCAGCCUGGUCUCCCAACACCUGGGCUCAAGCUAGCCUCCUGCCUUGGCCUCCCAAAGCACUGGGAUUAUAGCUUGAGCCACUGCCCCUGGCCUUUAGAUUGCAUUAAACUCCUUUAUACCAUGUAGUUAGUACCUAUUAGUUGUAGUUUGUGGCAUUGUACCAUUUGCCCACUAUUUAUCCCUCCCUUUUUAUACCCUCUCAUAAAUUAAUACCUUGUUCAGACUUUCUGCAAGUUAAUUAAAAACAAUAGCUUACAUUACUAUAAAUGUUAAAUCUUAUUUCAGAACGCAAAAGGCUUGCUGCAUGGCAUCUAGCGCAAGUCAAAACAUUUUCAGACUUUACUACAAAAGCAAUUUUUAAAAAUCCAAAAAGAAAGUGAACCUCUUAUGGAGCGAUUAAGACACAA
Molecule: long non-coding RNA, 1997 nt
Organism: Macaca mulatta (Rhesus monkey)
Lineage: Eukaryota; Metazoa; Chordata; Mammalia; Primates; Cercopithecidae
Source: Ensembl